This 725-nucleotide ribosomal RNA is filed under the name Demequina sp. CR-70. Its description in RNAcentral is "bacterial SSU rRNA". It matches the Rfam family "Bacterial small subunit ribosomal RNA", at positions 56 to 792 of the family's 1533-position model. The record is from RNAcentral. Lineage: Bacteria; Bacillati; Actinomycetota; Actinomycetes; Micrococcales; Demequinaceae.
UGCAAGUCGAACGGUGAAGUGAGAGCUUGCUCUCGCGGAUCAGUGGCGAACGGGUGAGUAACACGUGAGUAACCUGCCCCAGACUCUGGGAUAACCUCGGGAAACCGAUGCUAAUACCGGAUACGAGACGAGAUCGCAUGGUCAUCGUCUGGAAAGAAUUUCGGUCUGGGAUGGACUCGCGGCCUAUCAGCUUGUUGGUGAGGUAAUGGCUCACCAAGGCGACGACGGGUAGCCGGCCUGAGAGGGCGACCGGCCACACUGGAACUGAGACACGGUCCAGACUCCUACGGGAGGCAGCAGUGGGGAAUAUUGCACAAUGGGCGCAAGCCUGAUGCAGCGACGCCGCGUGGGGGAUGAAGGCCUUCGGGUUGUAAACCCCUUUCAGCAGGGAAGAAGCGAAAGUGACGGUACCUGCAGAAGAAGCGCCGGCUAACUACGUGCCAGCAGCCGCGGUAAUACGUAGGGCGCAAGCGUUGUCCGGAAUUAUUGGGCGUAAAGAGCUCGUAGGCGGUUUGUCGCGUCUGCUGUGAAAUCCCGAGGCUCAACCUCGGGACUGCAGUGGGUACGGGCAGACUAGAGUGUGGUAGGGGAGACUGGAAUUCCUGGUGUAGCGGUGGAAUGCGCAGAUAUCAGGAGGAACACCAAUGGCGAAGGCAGGUCUCUGGGCCACUACUGACGCUGAGGAGCGAAAGCAUGGGGAGCGAACAGGAUUAGAUACCCUGGUA